Molecule: ribosomal RNA, 398 nt
Filed under: uncultured eukaryote
Lineage: Eukaryota
Description: bacterial SSU rRNA
Rfam family: Eukaryotic small subunit ribosomal RNA
Source: RNAcentral
CAAUAGCGUAUAUUAAAGUUGUUGCGGUUAAAAAGCUCGUAGUUGGAUUUCUGCCGAGGACGACCGGUCCGCCCUCUGGGUGAGCAUCUGGAUCGGCCUGGGCAUCCUCUUGGGGAACGUAGCUGCACUUGACUGUGUGGUGCGGUAUCCAGGACUUUUACUUUGAGGAAAUUAGAGUGUUUCAAGCAGGCUUCCGCCUUGAAUACAUUAGCAUGGAAUAAUACUAUAGGAUCUCGGUUCUAUUUUGUUGGUUUCUAGACCCGGGGUAAUGAUUAAUAGGGACAAUUGGGGGCGAUUUGUUAUCAACACGUCAGAGGUGGAAUUCUUGGAUUGUGUUGCGACAAACUAACUGCGAAAGCAUUUGCCAAGGAUGUUUUCUAUUGAUCAAGAACGAAAGU